GUGAAGGCUAUACUUAGGCUUAACACAUGCGAGUGCUUGCAUUUUUGCAAGUGCAAACGGGUGAGGAAAUACCACAAGAUCACUGCAUAAUAGGAUACCUGAAAAAUCUUAAAUGUUUUCAAUGUCUUCAACCUAUGAGAUGUACUUGUGGAAGAUUAGGUUGUUGGUGUGAUAGUGCGCACCAUGCCUACGAUCUUUAGCUGGUCUGAGAGGAUGAUCAGCCACACUGGGACUGAGACAAGGCCCAGGCUUCUUUUGAAGCCAGCAGUGAGGAAUAUUGGACAAUGCACAAGAUUGCGAUCCAGCCAUAAGUAGGGAAGGAUUGAAGACUCCUUGAGGUUGUAAACUUCUACAGCAUGCAUCAAAAUGACAUAUGCAUGUGGAUUAGCUCCGGCCAACUUCGU
This 404-nucleotide ribosomal RNA is filed under the name uncultured bacterium. RNAcentral describes it as "bacterial SSU rRNA". It matches the Rfam family "Bacterial small subunit ribosomal RNA", at positions 29 to 506 of the family's 1533-position model. The record is from RNAcentral.